Molecule: long non-coding RNA, 851 nt
Organism: Dendrobium catenatum
Lineage: Eukaryota; Viridiplantae; Streptophyta; Magnoliopsida; Asparagales; Orchidaceae
Exons: 2
Source: RefSeq, a predicted model, not a curated record
GCUCCACUAUCACUCUUCUUGCACAAAUACGCCUAACUCUUAACAUUCCAAGCAAACAAAGCUAGCUAGAAAACUUCUUCAAGCCACUGUUGGUGGCGACGAGGGAUCAGCCAAUAUGCCACAAAUCCUGGAGGUGAUGUUGGAUAACCCAGGCCCGAACGGUGGAGCUGUGAAGACUAUAGGAAGGAAGCUCUCUUCAAUGUGCACGAAUGCCUUGCAGCAAUUCUGCGUAAACCUUAUGUGUAAGGUGAGGAAAGAAGGAAUAAGCUGUAGCAUUUUAUGAAGUCAGGGAUGAGUUGGAAUAAAGAGGCUGUAGGCAUUGUCGUGCCGACGGUGACAAGAAAGAGGAUGGCAUAAGCUGCUGCUGCUGCUACUGAUUUGGCCAUUGUUGCUGUACUUGUAAGGAUCUUUAUUGGGAUCACUUUCGCGUUGUUUAUUGAAGAGGAGUUGAAAGGCUCCAUUUGGGGGAGAAAUUGUUACGUGCGGAGUCCUCAUGUAAAGUUACGUCCUGACUCCAAUCAAAUGACGACGGGAAUGAGCAGAUCUACCUAAAUCCCGGGAGCAACUGCCAGGGCUUCAUCGCUUACUUAAUUGCCUUUUUGUGAUUAAUCUCAGCCCAUUAUGUUUAACCAAUUGAUCAAUUCUCUACCGUUAGAUAUAGUAUAUCAUGCAUAUAAAACUUUCAGUUAUGUACUGUUGAAAGGUACACAUAGGAUAGAAUUAGAGUUCAGAUUUCAGUUUUGCCUUCUCCCAUUUCUCUGCUACGGUUUGCUGUAAUUCUUCAACUCAUGCAGUGACUUUUAGCUUGAUAAAAUUACUUCAACUCAUUGGUAACAAAGCCAUUAAAAUUA